Syngnathus acus (greater pipefish) is the source of this 675-nucleotide long non-coding RNA. RefSeq lists it as uncharacterized. The transcript is spliced from 2 exons. NCBI's taxonomy places the organism in Eukaryota, Metazoa, Chordata, Actinopteri, Syngnathiformes, Syngnathidae. The record is from RefSeq and is a predicted model, not a curated record.
CAUCCGUUUUGGUCGCACACAAUGUCAUCAGGAAUAUCGGUGGACAGAUUCAUCACAGAACUACGUCAAAAGAGCGAAAACUGUGAGUUUGGAAGACAUGAAGAUGACAUGAUAAGGGAUAAAUUGGUGUUCAGCAGAAGUGAUACACAUCUGAAAGAGAGACUGUUACGUGAUAAUGCACUUACUGUCGUUAUGGAUUUUUUUCAACUGGAGUAUAUUUUUACAAUACUUUAUCUCAUUGAAAAGAGAAGGUACGAAUAGAAAUCGAUGGAACUGAAAUUGAAAGGUUGCAGGAAAACAAAUUUCUUGGGGUUAUAAUAGAUGACAGGCUGAGUUGCUGAGUCAGACUAUGGAGCAGUGUAAGUGAGGAACUCAAGCAAAGUCCAAAUAUCCACUAGUUUAAAAAAAAUGUUCAAAAAUAUGUUGUUUAGCGGGUGCAAGGACUAAAAAUGCCAAAUGGCAAAAGCUAAAAUAAAACAGGAUAAUAAGUUGAAAGUGUAAAUCAAUCAAUCAAUCCUUUUGCUUUUUAAACCCACAUACAGCUAGCUCGACAGUGACUUAAAUAUGGCACUUUAAAGUGUUAUUGAUUGUAUUUUAUUUGUAUUCAUUUCCCCCCUCCUUUUAUGUUUGAAAUAUGUUCGGAAUAAAGACUCAUCAUCAACAGUUAUGCAUUCA